RNAcentral lists this ribosomal RNA (1004 nucleotides) under Halomonas eurihalina. RNAcentral describes it as "bacterial SSU rRNA". It matches the Rfam family "Bacterial small subunit ribosomal RNA", at positions 1 to 996 of the family's 1533-position model. The record is from RNAcentral. Lineage: Bacteria; Pseudomonadati; Pseudomonadota; Gammaproteobacteria; Oceanospirillales; Halomonadaceae.
CAACUGAAGAGUUUGAUCAUGGCUCAGAUUGAACGCUGGCGGCAGGCCUAACACAUGCAAGUCGAGCGGAAACGAUCCUAGCUUGCUAGGAGGCGUCGAGCGGCGGACGGGUGAGUAAUGCAUAGGAAUCUGCCCGGUAGUGGGGGAUAACUUGAGGAAACUCAAGCUAAUACCGCAUACGCCCUACGGGGGAAAGCAGGGGCUCUUCGGACCUUGCGCUAUCGGAUGAGCUUAUGUCGGAUUAGCUAGUUGGUGAGGUAAUGGCUCACCAAGGCGACGAUCCGUAGCUGGUCUGAGAGGAUGAUCAGCCACAUCGGGACUGAGACACGGCCCGAACUCCUACGGGAGGCAGCAGUGGGGAAUAUUGGACAAUGGGGGCAACCCUGAUCCAGCCAUGCCGCGUGUGUGAAGAAGGCCCUCGGGUUGUAAAGCACUUUCAGCGAGGAAGAAUGCUUGUCGGUUAAUACCCGGCAAGGGAGACAUCACUCGCAGAAGAAGCACCGGCUAACUCCGUGCCAGCAGCCGCGGUAAUACGGAGGGUGCGAGCGUUAAUCGGAAUUACUGGGCGUAAAGCGUGCGUAGGCGGCUUGGUAAGCCGGUUGUGAAAGCCCCGGGCUCAACCUGGGAACGGCAUCCGGAACUGUCAGGCUAGAGUGCAGGAGAGGAAGGUAGAAUUCCCGGUGUAGCGGUGAAAUGCGUAGAGAUCGGGAGGAAUACCAGUGGCGAAGGCGGCCUUCUGGACUGACACUGACGCUGAGGUACGAAAGCGUGGGUAGCAAACAGGAUUAGAUACCCUGGUAGUCCACGCCGUAAACGAUGUCGACUAGCCGUUGGGGUCCUCGAGACCUUUGUGGCGCAGUUAACGCACUAAGUCGACCGCCUGGGGAGUACGGCCGCAAGGUUAAAACUCAAAUGAAUUGACGGGGGCCCGCACAAGCGGUGGAGCAUGUGGUUUAAUUCGAUGCAACGCGAAGAACCUUACCUACCCUUGACAUCGUGCGAAC